UGUAAAUCGGUUGUAGAAGAAGUGUGUCGUAGACUAGAUAAUUUUGUGCUGAUCAACAACUGUACACCAACAGAUGACCAGCUGUUUGUAACAGUUUGCACACUUUUCAAUGAGCAUGUGUGACAACUGUUGGCAAAUAGUGCUUGCUCUGUGUAUAUGCAUGCACAUUUAGAUAAAUCAUGCAUACAAAGAGACAACGGGCUCCUUAUUAUGUAUACAGCACCUGAAUAGGUCAUUCAGUGGAACAUGCUAAACAAAAAAUGUUGAGAAUGUAUAACAUAUACAUA
Zootermopsis nevadensis is the source of this 287-nucleotide long non-coding RNA. RefSeq lists it as uncharacterized. Lineage: Eukaryota; Metazoa; Arthropoda; Insecta; Blattodea; Termopsidae. The record is from RefSeq and is a predicted model, not a curated record.